Long non-coding RNA from Vidua chalybeata, 313 nucleotides. RefSeq lists it as uncharacterized. The transcript is spliced from 4 exons. Lineage: Eukaryota; Metazoa; Chordata; Aves; Passeriformes; Viduidae. The record is from RefSeq and is a predicted model, not a curated record.
CCCCCUCCAAAGUACCCAAGAUCCCCUGUCCCAGGAAGCUGGUGGCCAUUCCCUCUACUACACAUUAUGCUCCAGGUAAAAAGGCUGUCCUUGCCUUCAUGCUGAAAGAAGGCCUCAAGCUCCUGCUACCAUGGCCCCAGAAGAAAACUGAGCCUCCAGAGGAGCAAAAAGCUGCAGACCCCAGUGGGAAGAAGAGGCCCUCGCUCAGCCAGCCUGCCCCACAGGGCAGGAACUAAAGGAAGCUCAGCCCUCCCAAAAACAACACCCACACAGGUGUGAUCCAAGGAAGCCGAGCAGCCUGGACACAGGGAAU